GAAGAACGCGAAGGAGAAAGAAGAGAAAGAAGAAAAGAAGAAAGAAAAGAUUUAGCCGUUCGAUUUCGAUUCCGAUUUCGGUGUACGUUGGAGGAUAUUUGGGUGAAGUUAUAAAAAUCCAGAAAGUAUCGGUAGGAGGUACGCAUGGCACCUCCGGGACAGGGGACGUCUCGGGAGAUAGAAAGACGGGCUGAAUGAGUGAACUGCAUCUGAUGUAUUAUAUGUAAAUUCUAACUAGAAAAACCUCCCGUUUUGGGAGUAUGUUUUUGUAAAUAUUUAUAAACUUGUUUUUUGGAAAUAAUAAAAUGCUUAUAUAAUUAAUUUUAGCCUUAACACUGUGUUGUGGGGCCCGAAGUAGGAGGUGACGACCUCAUGAUGCAGUGUGGCGGUAGCAUUUCCAGUAUGAGCCAACUGGGGGUGUUACAAGUUGGUAUCAGAGCCUAGGUUUGAUAGAUUUUGGCUCUUUGAA
Long non-coding RNA from Andrographis paniculata, 469 nucleotides. RefSeq lists it as uncharacterized. The record is from RefSeq and is a predicted model, not a curated record. The transcript is spliced from 3 exons. Lineage: Eukaryota; Viridiplantae; Streptophyta; Magnoliopsida; Lamiales; Acanthaceae.